This 2313-nucleotide long non-coding RNA is filed under the name Sus scrofa (pig). Its description in RNAcentral is "lncRNA (ENSSSCG00030008655.1)". Lineage: Eukaryota; Metazoa; Chordata; Mammalia; Artiodactyla; Suidae. The record is from RNAcentral.
UGUUUUCUGUUAUUUUCCUUCCUUCUUUCAUAUGUUUAACUUGAUGCUUUAUUUUUGAAGUAGAUUUAAAUAGUUGUCUUCUGCUUUUUUUCUUUUCUAAUAUAUUCACAUUUAAGGCUUUAAAUGUUUAUGGAUUGCUUUAGCUGCAUCCCACAAGUCUUGAUGAGUUGUAUUUUUACCAUUGUUAAUACAUUUUCUAAUUUCCAUGGUGACCUUUUGAUUCCUGAGUUAUUUAGAAAUUGUUUGGUUUAAGCGUAUGGAACAUUUAAUAAACUUUUACUUCUAACAAUGCCACAGUAGUCACAAAACAUACCCUGAAAAAUUUCAAACUUUUGAAAAUUGUUACAACAUUAUAGCCCUAGACACGGCUAAUUUUAUAAAUUUCCAUGUGCAUCUGAAAUGAAUGUAUAUUCUGUGGUUGUAUUUAACUAUUAACUUAAUUUUUAAUAAUCUUCUUUAUAGAAAAAUCAAAAUAUUAAAAUUUAUUUUAAAUAUAUAUUUCUCUUUACUGAUAUAUUUAUUUAGAUAUAUAUUAAAAAUGAAGUAUUUACUAAAAUUCAAAUUUUUAAUAAAAUUUGUAUCCAUAAUUUUAUUAGUAAUCACAAUGAAAAUUUUAUUUCAUUGUGUAAACAAAAUUGCUAAAGCAGACCAGAGGCAUUUGAAAUAUAAGGAUGACAAUGUGGUUUUUUUUAAUCAGACCCAGAAAUAAAAUAACUCUAGAGGAUUUUACUAAUCCUUUGGUUAACUAGUAGUCUGCUUUAGACAGCUCAGUCAUGUCAAACUUUCAACAGAUUAAAAAAUAUGAAUUCAGGGGGGCACAGUCUUUGAGGCAUUAGCCUGCUAUGACCCUCAUUUGCCUGGCAAAGCAAUAAAGCUGUAUUUUCUUCUUCGCCCCCUGCCCCCCACUGCCCCAAAUAGAUUUAGGAGUUCCUGUCAUGGCUCAGCAGAAACAAAUCUGACUAGUAUCCAUGAAGACACAGGUUAGAUCCCUGGCCUCACUCAGUGGGUCAGUAAUCCAGCAUUGCCAUGAGCUGUGGUGUAGAGAGAACCAAAUUGAGAGUUGAGCAACUUGGCCAAAUAUAAACUCCUAUUUCACAUUAAGUUUAUUUUAACAUGUAUUAAAUCUAGUCUGGAUAUAGACUUCUUUCUCAUACAAAGUCUAUUUGACUUAAAUGUAUUUUUAUUUGUUGGCAUAUAUACAAUUUUUAAAUUAUUUUUCCUUUGAAUUUUAUUAGUAAAAAUAUCCUACUGGUAUUCAGUCUUUUAAUGGCCAGAUUUCCAGUCUCGGAAACAGUGUCUCUGAUGUACUUUACCAUUAACUACUCAUAGAAGCAGGACAUGUAUUAUAGGAAAACCUAUGAUUUCAAAUUUAAUUCCUUCAAAAUAUAAGUUCCAUGUUUUGGGGCAUAAACACUUUACCAGUCCAAUUCAGCUUUACUAAUGUGAUCAUUACAGCAAAAGAAAAUACACCCAAAAUGGUUGAUUUUGAAUGAUGAAAUUAUGAGUAAUUUUUAUUUAGAAUUUUAAAACCUUUACAUGUUUUGUAUAAUGACAGUUUUCAUUCCCCCACCUUUGUCCUAAAGCCAGUGCCUCAGAGGCUGAGUGCAGUGAGGAAGCCCUCCUCCUGAGUAAGGGAGGAGAGGAGCACAAUAUGGGGUACUGGAACUCAAAUGAGAUGAAGAGGGUGUCACACAGGAGUGUGUAUGUGUAUGCAAAUUUAAAACAUAUAGGUAUACACACACAUAAAGCCCCAAAGCUUCAUCCACUGAGAAGGUGUGGUGGCACAGACAUCCCAGUUAUAACAGGCACAUCUCACACAAAUUGUAGUUUCUAACUAACAAUUUCCAAUAAGAGGUAGAGAAACAGUUGAUUCCAGAGCUGGAGCAGGAAAGUAAAAGAAAGUUUGGAAAAACCUGUGUGCUCAAAAGUUAGAAAGUACUUAAAAAAUGAUAGCAACAUGUCAAAAAGACAUAGGAGACAACUUGAAGGGGCUCCCACUGGUCAAUGGCAAGACAAUGUAAGACUCAAAUAAAUAACAGAUUAUAACCCACUGACUAGAAAAACCAUGAAUUCAUACUGAUAUUAAUAAACUGAAAUUUUGAUUAGUGGCAGGAUAUAUGCAUAGCUUCAAAAUACCUCUCCACAAAAUACUUACAAAGGGACAAAGUAACUUUACUGUGGAGAAGCCUGAUAGGAAAUACCUUAAGCAAAUGCUCAUAAUGACUAUUAUCAGAAAGGGGGGCAAAAUGAAAUUGUGCACCACUAUCUCAUAGAAUGCAAUAAGAACACAGAACUGCUUUUCUAAUACCUCUG